Molecule: long non-coding RNA, 592 nt
Organism: Prosopis cineraria
Lineage: Eukaryota; Viridiplantae; Streptophyta; Magnoliopsida; Fabales; Fabaceae
Exons: 2
Source: RefSeq, a predicted model, not a curated record
UCUUCCCUGCUUCAUUUUUCUCGAAAGAUUGCUGGUUUCUCGGCGGAGAGGAGAAGGGGGGGGGGAGGGAGAGAGAGGGAGUCACUCCAUUUUUCCUCUUCCUCCCUCCUUCCAGUUGCCGUCGAGGGUGCUGUGAGAGUUGCCGUCUCAUCCGCAGCUGCAGUAGAUCCAUGAGCUUGCAAUCUUCAUCUGUGUGUCGUCGAUUUCUUCCCAUUUCGUCUGUAUUGUGCUGUGGUGCUUUGAAUCCUUUCUCUAUUCCUUCUACACGUUGCCAGUGUGUACACGGGAGUUGUUUCUGUUGCUGCUGGAGGUUUGAUUUGUGGGUCCUUCUCCUCCCCUGUUUUCGCUCACAGCUCGUCUUCUUGAUCUUCAUGUUCUGUCACUGCAAUUUUGGUUCUCCUUCCUUCGGUACUCUUUGCUUUAUUGGCUCAUUGUUGGAUUGAUUAGAAGAUUUUUGGGGAUGCAUUUUUUUUUUUGUUAAUGCUUAAUUAUGUGUUAUAUUUUGAAUUUAUGAUUAGUUGCUCCAUGUUAACUAUAGGUAAGAUUAUUAUCUGUAUGUUGUGGAGGAGCAGAGUUCCACACUUUUUUUUUA